AUGGCUUACAGGCUUCCACUGGCAGGAGUUAGGACUUCCAAUUAUGAGGCUAGAGAGCUUCCAUCAAACAGCUACCUGAAUCUGGGUGGGCCUUAUGGAAAAUUUGUGCCUUUCAUAAUCGCGGGAGAAGGUGGCUUUGGGGAGCAUAAGCAGCUCAACUGGACAAACUUGUUUUUACUAAACAAGCUUGGCAGUGACAUAGACAGCGAUCAUGUAGAGGUGAUCAAUCAGAUCAAAGUAGAGAAAGAUGUUGAAAAGAUAAAAGAGUUGAUAAAGCGACUGCCCCGUGAAAUUUCCGAGCAAUUGGAAGGCCACGAGACCCAUGAACAGGUUAAAAUCCUGACAGGUCUGAGUAGGAACAUGGAUCAGAGGAUGUCCUGUCUCACAACAGAGAUGCGGCGUCUAAGAAGUGAUCUGGGAGAGGUGAUGAAAGGUAUCGGAGAGAUACGCGGAGCAUUGGAUAGGAUGGAGCGACAAAAUCCUUGCUACCGUCCAGGAACAAAUGCAACAAGCCCUGGAGUUUGUACUCCAGGCAGCUACGUAUUUGGGUAUCGUAUUUUUCUAUAUUGUAUUGUAAUGAAUAAAAUUAUGCGCUCCUUGCAGCGUAUAAUGUUGUACGAGUCUGCGUCGGUCGAGUUUUUUUAG
RNAcentral lists this ribosomal RNA (645 nucleotides) under Triticum aestivum (bread wheat). RNAcentral's name for it is "partial small subunit ribosomal RNA". The record is from RNAcentral. Lineage: Eukaryota; Viridiplantae; Streptophyta; Magnoliopsida; Poales; Poaceae.